This 558-nucleotide ribosomal RNA is filed under the name uncultured bacterium. RNAcentral's name for it is "bacterial SSU rRNA". It matches the Rfam family "Bacterial small subunit ribosomal RNA", at positions 102 to 694 of the family's 1533-position model. The record is from RNAcentral.
ACGGGUGAGUAACGCGUGGGAACGUGCCCUUCGGUUCGGAAUAACUCAGGGAAACUUGAGCUAAUACCGGAUACGCCCUUUUGGGGAAAGGCUUGACUGCCGAAGGAUCGGCCCGCGUCUGAUUAGCUAGUUGGUGAGGUUAUGGCUCACCAAGGCGACGAUCAGUAGCUGGUCUGAGAGGAUGAUCAGCCACACUGGGACUGAGACACGGCCCAGACUCCUACGGGAGGCAGCAGUGGGGAAUAUUGGACAAUGGGGGCAACCCUGAUCCAGCCAUGCCGCGUGAGUGAUGACGGCCUUAGGGUUGUAAAGCUCUUUUCUCCGGGACGAUAAUGACGGUACCGGAGGAAUAAGCCCCGGCUAACUUCGUGCCAGCAGCCGCGGUAAUACGAAGGGGGCUAGCGUUGCUCGGAAUCACUGGGCGUAAAGGGCGCGUAGGCGGCUGAUUUAGUCGAGGGUGAAAGCCCGUGGCUCAACCACGGAAUGGCCUUCGAUACUGAUUGGCUUGAGACCGGAAGAGGACAGCGGAACUGCGAGUGUAGAGGUGAAAUUCGUAGA